ACAUUGUUUUAGCCAUCAAACUUAACUUAAAAAUUGUUUUGCUACUCGAAAUUGUAUUUACUAUUUAUUGUGAUAUAAAGUUAAAUAUUUCAAGAAGUGUUCUUUUCAGUGUACCGCUUGCGACUGCAGAGAUCUUCGCAUGCAUUUAUUCGGCAGUCGGUAUAAUCCUCUUGUACUUGCAGAUUGUUCAGGCGACUAAUUGCUAAGUGAGCGGCGCGUCGCCGAAUGAGUAAUUUUUCGUAGGUUGGUAUCUGCUGCAAGUGUCUGGAGUCAGCUACAACAAUGUCAAGGGAAUACUGCUUCUGAAAUUAUUGGAUUUGCAUAUUAACAGAUCUGGCAUAAAUGAAUGGAUUCGAUCUGGCUGGGAGUCAUUCGAAUUGGGG
Molecule: non-coding RNA, 383 nt
Organism: Drosophila melanogaster (fruit fly)
Lineage: Eukaryota; Metazoa; Arthropoda; Insecta; Diptera; Drosophilidae
Source: Ensembl